RNAcentral lists this ribosomal RNA (459 nucleotides) under uncultured bacterium. RNAcentral describes it as "partial 16S ribosomal RNA". It matches the Rfam family "Bacterial small subunit ribosomal RNA", at positions 338 to 795 of the family's 1533-position model. The record is from RNAcentral.
CCUACGGGAGGCAUCAGUGAGGAAUAUUGGUCAAUGGUCGGGAGACUGAACCAGCCAAGCCGCGUGAGGGAGGAAGGUACAGAGUAUCGUAAACCUCUUUUGUCAGGGAACAAAGGCGGGGACGUGUCCCCGGAUGAGUGUACCUGAAGAAAAAGCAUCGGCUAACUCCGUGCCAGCAGCCGCGGUAAUACGGAGUAUGCGAGCGUUAUCCGGUUUUAUUGGGUUUAAAGGGUGCGCAGGCGGUCUGUUUAGUCGGCGGUCAAAGCCCGGGGCUCAACCCCGGCCCGCAGUUGAAACUGGCAGUCUCGAGUUGGAGAGAGGUAUGCGGAAUGCGCGGUGUAGCGGUGAAAUGCAUAGAUAUCGCGCAGAACUCCGAUUGCGAAGGCAGCAUGCCGGCUCCACACUGACGCUGAGGCACGAAAGCGUGGGUAGCGAACAGGAUUAGAUACCCGGGUAGUC